Molecule: long non-coding RNA, 505 nt
Organism: Stegostoma tigrinum
Lineage: Eukaryota; Metazoa; Chordata; Chondrichthyes; Orectolobiformes; Stegostomatidae
Exons: 3
Source: RefSeq, a predicted model, not a curated record
CCAAGGUGCUGAAAAGUAAGUUCAGAUCCAAGAAAUACUUUGCCAAACAUCCUCGCUUGGGUUAUUUACCAGUACAAACAGUUCUAGAAGGCGAGAACUUUGAGACGACACAAUCAUCGCCUUGGAAGCUUCAUCACGAUACUACUUUGCAUUUCUGAAGAGGGAAGAAGAAAUCAAUAUGCAAAUUCAAUUCCAUGGUUUUGGAAGUCCCAUUGAGAACACGAUUCAUUUGCGCCGGCAUAAUGCUCUGACCGAGAAAGAAUUGAAGAGCCAGGACUGAGGGAAUCCUGCAUCGUUACGGUGUCAUCGUUGAGGGAGUGCUGCACUGUUGAAGGGCCGAUAGUAAGGGAGUGUGACACUGUCAGAGUGUCAUUACCAAAGGUGGGCUACAGUAUCAAAGGGUGAGUAAUGAGGGAAUGCUGCGCUGUCGGAGGGUCAGCACUGAGGUGGGCUGUACUGUCAGAUCGUCAAUAUAAAUAAUAAUGUUAGGGGAGUGCUGCAUUGU